GCAAGAAACAGCAGCUCUAACACAGCCGUGAAUGAAUGUCCUGAAGAAUAAGCACCGGCUAACUACGUGCCAGCAGCCGCGGUAAUACGUAGGGUGCAAGCGUUAAUCGGAAUUACUGGGCGUAAAGCGUGCGCAGGCGGUUAUACAAGACAGGCGUGAAAUCCCCGGGCUUAACCUGGGAAUUGCGUCUGUGACUGUAUAGCUAGAGUGUGUCAGAGGGGGGUAGAAUUCCACGUGUAGCAGUGAAAUGCGUAGAUAUGUGGAGGAAUACCAAUGGCGAAGGCAGCCCCCUGGGAUAACACUGACGCUCAUGCACGAAAGCGUGGGGAGCAAACAGGAUUAGAUACCCUGAUAGUACACGCCCUAAACGAUGCUGACUAGUUGUUCGGGAUUUACAUCCUGAGUAACGUAGCUAACGCGUGAAGUCAGACGACUGGGGAGUACGGACGGAAGAUUACAACUCACAGGAAUUGACGGGGACCC
Molecule: ribosomal RNA, 483 nt
Filed under: uncultured bacterium
Lineage: Bacteria
Description: bacterial SSU rRNA
Rfam family: Bacterial small subunit ribosomal RNA
Source: RNAcentral